GCGCCAGUAUUGAGUCGUUGGUUGCCAUGACAACGAAAAUACAUUUAUUUAGGCUUGUUGUUUUCUAAAAGUACUUUAUAUUUCUAUGUGAAUUUUCACAUUUGUUUUUUCUUUAAAUCCUCUUAAUAUGUUAUUUGGAAUAUUUUGUUAAGAAUCACUUCCGGGUCACGUGCCGCGGAUAGUGAGGAAUUAGAAAGAUCGAGAAGAAAACUGGAGAGAGAGAGAGACAGAGACAGAGCUACGAUACCGUGUGGUCUCCGUGAUUUAAUUUGAUCUACUUUCGGUUUACUAAGGUGCACACGUUUUCACGGUGUUCCAAGAUUAAACGUUUUUCUGGACAUCAGUUGAAGCAUCAUCCUUGACCGGGGUAGUUACAGUGAAAACGUGUCCUCAUCCAUCCUUCUGGAGGCUUCGGCGCACAUCACGUAGCAAGCUACGAGCUACAUCGAGCGUCGUCACACUCAACCCCGCGUGCCACGCAGCUAGCCACGAGCUACUUCGAACGUCGUCGCACUCAACCGGCAGCAAGCUACAGGCCUCGGCAUGCAUCGUCGCUCCUCAACCGGCAGUAAGGCAAGAUUUCAACGCGCGACGUUGCUUCUCAUCCUGUAGCAGCUAAAGGUUUAGGUGGACAUUAACCAGAGUUGGCAAAGGCCUAUACAGCUUCCAGUAGCUCACAAAGUAGAUGGAUAGAAAAUAGACAAAGAUUAUCAUAACUGAGGAACUAAUGAAUGUGAGUUCUUGAAUCUGUGAAAAUAUCUGUGAAUGUUUGACAAGCGCAACAUUG
Molecule: long non-coding RNA, 787 nt
Organism: Hippocampus comes (tiger tail seahorse)
Lineage: Eukaryota; Metazoa; Chordata; Actinopteri; Syngnathiformes; Syngnathidae
Exons: 3
Source: RefSeq, a predicted model, not a curated record